AACGCACGAGACCUGCGGACCUGCGGAAGGAUCAUUAUUGAAUGUGCUUGAUGGGUUGUUGCUGGCUUUUCGAAGCAUGUGCACACCUAUCUUGACUCUAUUCAUCCACCUGUGCACCUAGUGUAGUCCUUUCUUCUCUCUAAGGUCAAGAAAAGUGGGCUUGACUCAGUCUUGACAAGACUGGAUUUGAGGAUUGCUUUUUAAUCUCUCCUCUUCUGCUCUCGUUGAAUUGGGUCUUAU
This 240-nucleotide unclassified non-coding RNA is filed under the name soil metagenome. RNAcentral describes it as "partial contains 5.8S ribosomal RNA, internal transcribed spacer 2, and large subunit ribosomal RNA". The record is from RNAcentral.